GAGAGGAAAAAAAAAAUCCUAAGUACAGAUGAAGAGGAUAAACAAAGAAAGCAACAGCAGUACAGCUACAAACACACACAUCAAUCAAUAGAGAUGAGAAGGUGCACCAUCGACGAUACGACGAUGAUGGCUUCUCAUCUCUUUCCAGAGAGGCUGAUGGAGCUGACUUUCAUGGGGGUAGCCACAACCAGUGGAGCUUCUGGAGAAUCAGAGACAGCAAACUUGUCGUGCAUGAAUCGGCUCUCCACAAUGGAUUCAUCCUUCAGCACAAUCUUGUAGCAGUAACAGCUCUUGAGUCCUUGCUGAUUGCGGUAGCAGUCAUGUGCACUGUUCUUUACGCGAUGGAAGUCCCAUAUCACACUGAAUUUGCCCACUGUUGCCACAAGGUGACGCUCUUGUUUACCGCUUUCGGUGACCCAAGAAAAGUGGCCACCAUGGAAUGUAUUGUCUGUUCCAGCCAAAUGAGAAUCCAGAGGAGUCAACUUCAGCAACCUCGGAGCUGGAAUUCUGUUCCCCAUACGACCACUGAACCCAGUCUUCGUGUUUCCAUCUUUAUCAGUGAACAACGUGCAGAUGAGUAUCAAAUAACUAUCAGUCGUCCCCAAAAUCCACUUACCAUCAUAAGUAACAUCCACAUGAGUAAUCGGCGAACCAAGCCCUGGAAAGGCUGUCUUUGCCUGUCUCAUUGACGUCUUCGAAUACAGCCUUAUCUUCCCAUCAACCGACCCAACAACAAUUGAUCCAUCCCCUGUUGUAGCAAAGCACUGGAAGUUCGUCCCUCUAGAAAACUGAUGCCCCUGCGCCCAGUUCAGAACCGUUGAAUUAUCAGCAGCUCCACCAAUGUUCUGAACCAUUCCUCUACGGUCUCUCAUGUCCCAUUGACAAAGCCUGUUGUCAUCCAACCCCAAAAAUGUCGACUCUGAAGGAUCCAAUUGAGACCCUUUGGUGUCAUUUGCGAUGUCCCUCAUUGUAAUGUCUGUACCAUCCUUUUCAAAUUUCCAUUCUGUAACUAUUUUCCCUGUCUCGAUAUCAAGCUGCUCUAGCCCUGAUGCGUGGGGCUUUCCCUCCUUCAAUGGACUCAUGAGAAGCAUGUUUGUCUCAGCCUUCAUGAGAAGACCCUUCUUCGGUGUUGAUCGACUGGCGUUUGGAGAAUGUCCUGCACCAAACUUCAAUGAGACCCCCUUCCCAUGAAUUCCAUGGCUUAGAUUCCUGUAAACCUGAACCCCCGAGUCGUUCACCAAGAAGCUGUUAUCCAACGCCCCUAAUGUCAAGCUCUGCACUCCUCCAUUAGCAGCUUCCUCGAACUCCUCUAUCAAGUCUUGUUUCGUCCUCGCUGACGAGCUGGGGCUCUUCCCAAACUCAAUAUCGGCGUUUUCCCAAACCGAAUCGUCAGCCACCUCAGGCUUCAACCACCCAAUGAACUCCU
Molecule: unclassified non-coding RNA, 1426 nt
Filed under: Hevea brasiliensis (rubber tree)
Lineage: Eukaryota; Viridiplantae; Streptophyta; Magnoliopsida; Malpighiales; Euphorbiaceae
Source: RNAcentral